RNAcentral lists this ribosomal RNA (253 nucleotides) under uncultured bacterium. Its description in RNAcentral is "partial 16S ribosomal RNA". It matches the Rfam family "Bacterial small subunit ribosomal RNA", at positions 524 to 776 of the family's 1533-position model. The record is from RNAcentral.
GACGAAGGGGGCUAGCGUUGUUCGGAAUUACUGGGCGUAAAGCGCGUGUAGGCGGUUGGUCAAGUCAGGGGUGAAAGCCUUGAGCUCAACUCCAGAAAUGCACUUGAUACUGGGCGACUAGAGGACCGGAGAGGAUAGUGGAAUUCCCAGUGUAGUGGUGAAAUACGUAGAGAUUGGGAAGAACACCAGUGGCGAAGGCGGCUAUCUGGACGGUUACUGACGCUAAGACGCGAAAGCGUGGGGAGCAAACAGG